GUCCACGCCCUAAACGAUGAACACUAGGUGUGGGGGGCAUAGCAUUCCGUGCCGCAGCUAACGCAAUAAGUGUUCCACCUGGGGAGUACGGCCGCAAGGUUGAAACUCAAAGGAAUUGACGGGAGCCCGCACAAGCAGUGGAGUAUGUGGUUUAAUUCGAAGCAACGCGAAAAACCUUACCAAGGAUUGACAUCCAGAGAAGGCUGGGUAAUGCCGGCUGUGCCCUUCGGGGAACUCUGAGACAGGUGGUGCAUGGUUGUCGU
RNAcentral lists this ribosomal RNA (263 nucleotides) under uncultured bacterium. Its description in RNAcentral is "partial 16S ribosomal RNA". It matches the Rfam family "Bacterial small subunit ribosomal RNA", at positions 793 to 1055 of the family's 1533-position model. The record is from RNAcentral.